CCUACGGGUGGCAGCAGUGAGGAAUAUUGGUCAAUGGGCGCGAGCCUGAACCAGCCAAGUAGCGUGAAGGAUGACUGCCCUACGGGUUGUAAACUUCUUUUAUCAAGGAAUAAAGUGAGGCACGUGUGCCUUUUUGUAUGUACUUUAUGAAUAAGCAUCGGCUAACUCCGUGCCAGCAGCCGCGGUAAUACGGAGGAUCCGAGCGUUAUCCGGAUUUAUUGGGUUAAAAGGGAGCGUAGGAGGGUGGUCAAGUCAGUGGUAAAAAUGCGGUGAUAAACGGAGAACAGCAAGUGAAACGGGCAGUCUUGAGUGGGCGAGAAGUAUGCGGAAGUCGGGGUGUAGCGGUGAAAUGCAUAGAUAUCACGAAGAACUCCGAUUGCGAAGGCAGCAUACCGGCGCCCUACUGACGCUGAGGCACGAAAGCGUGGGUAUCGAACAGGAUUAGAUACCCUAGUAGUC
This 459-nucleotide ribosomal RNA is filed under the name uncultured bacterium. RNAcentral describes it as "partial 16S ribosomal RNA". It matches the Rfam family "Bacterial small subunit ribosomal RNA", at positions 338 to 795 of the family's 1533-position model. The record is from RNAcentral.